RNAcentral lists this ribosomal RNA (497 nucleotides) under uncultured bacterium. RNAcentral's name for it is "partial 16S ribosomal RNA". It matches the Rfam family "Bacterial small subunit ribosomal RNA", at positions 28 to 507 of the family's 1533-position model. The record is from RNAcentral.
GAUGAACGCUGGCGGCGUGCCUAAUACAUGCAAGUCGAGCGAACGGACGAGAAGCUUGCUUCUCUGAUGUUAGCGGCGGACGGGUGAGUAACACGUGGAUAACCUACCUAUAAGACUGGGAUAACUUCGGGAAACCGGUGCUAAUACCGGAGAAUAUUUUGAACCGCCUGGUUCAAAAGUGAAAGACGGUCUUGCUGUCACUUAUAGAUGGAUCCGCGCUGCAUUAGCUAGUUGGUAAGGUAACGGCUUACCAAGGCAACGAUGCAUAGCCGACCUGAGAGGAUGAUCGGCCACACUGGAACUGAGACACGGUCCAGACUCCUACGGGAGGCAGCAGUAGGGAAUUUUCGGCAAAGGGCGAAAGCCUGACGGAGCAACGCCGCGUGAGUGAUGAAGGUCUUUGGAUCGUAAAACACUGUUAUUAGGGAAGAACAUAUGUGUAAGUAACUGGGCACAUCUUGACGGUACCUAAUCAAAAAGCCACGGCUAACUACGUG